GUUCUUGUAGUUGAAUUUUACAACGACGGUUUUUCAGGCCGUAGGUCUUGGGAAGGUCCAAGUAAGAAUU
Molecule: transfer RNA, 70 nt
Filed under: Centropus bengalensis (lesser coucal)
Lineage: Eukaryota; Metazoa; Chordata; Aves; Cuculiformes; Centropidae
Description: tRNA-Glu
Rfam family: tRNA
About the family: Transfer RNA (tRNA) molecules are approximately 80 nucleotides in length.
Source: RNAcentral